ACACAGAGCCUACGGGAGCAGCAGUGGGGAAUAUUGCACAAUGGGGGAAACCCUGAUGCAGCGACGCCGCGUGAAGGAAGAAGUAUCUCGGUAUGUAAACUUCUAUCAGCAGGGAAGAUAGUGACGGUACCUGACUAAGAAGCCCCGGCUAACUACGUGCC
RNAcentral lists this ribosomal RNA (161 nucleotides) under uncultured bacterium. RNAcentral's name for it is "partial 16S ribosomal RNA". It matches the Rfam family "Bacterial small subunit ribosomal RNA", at positions 329 to 509 of the family's 1533-position model. The record is from RNAcentral.